UUCCCUUCGGGGACAUUGGUGACAGGUGGUGCAUGGUUGUCGUCAGCUCGUGUCGUGAGAUGUUGGGUUAAGUCCCGCAACGAGCGCAACCCUUGUCUUUAGUUGCCAUCAUUAAGUUGGGCACUCUAGAGAGACUGCCAGGGAUAACCUGGAGGAAGGUGGGGAUGACGUCAAAUCAUCAUGCCCCUUAUGCUUAGGGCUACACACGUGCUACAAUGGGUAGUACAGAGGGUUGCCAAGCCGUAAGGUGGAGCUAAUCCCUUAAAGCUACUCUCAGUUCGGAUUGUAGGCUGAAACUCGCCUACAUGAAGCUGGAGUUACUAGUAAUCGCAGAUCAGAAUGCUGCGGUGAAUGCGUUCCCGGGUCUUGUACACACCGCCCGUCACACCACGGGAGUUGGAGACGCCCGAAGCCGAUUAUCUAACCUUGUGGAAGAAGUCGUCGAAGGUGGAAUCAAUAACUGGGGUGAAGUCGUAACAAGGUAGCCGUAUCGGAAGGUGCGGCUGGAUCACCUCCUUUCUAAGGA
RNAcentral lists this ribosomal RNA (526 nucleotides) under Clostridioides difficile. RNAcentral describes it as "bacterial SSU rRNA". It matches the Rfam family "Bacterial small subunit ribosomal RNA", at positions 1014 to 1533 of the family's 1533-position model. The record is from RNAcentral. Lineage: Bacteria; Bacillati; Bacillota; Clostridia; Peptostreptococcales; Peptostreptococcaceae.